AUUGAACGCUAACGGCAUGCUUAACACAUGCAAGUCGAACGGCAGCACAGCAGUAGCAAUACUGUGGGUGGCGAGUGGCGGACGGGGGAGUAAUGUAUAGGAAUCUGCCUUGUAGUGGGGGAUAACCGGGGGAAACUCGGGCUAAUACCGCAUAAUCUUUACGAAGCAAAGCGGGGGACCGUAAGACCUUGCGCUAUAAGAUGAGCCUAUAUUGGAUUAGCUAGUUGGUGGGGUAAAGGCCUACCAAGGCGACGAUCCAUAGCUGGUCUGAGAGGAUGAUCAGCCACACUGGGACUGGGACACGGCCCAGACUCCUACGGGAGGCAGCAGUGGGAAAUAUUGGACAAUGGGGGAAACCCUGAUCCAGCAAUGCCGUGUGUGUGAAGAAGGCCUUCGGGUUGUAAAGCACUUUUAGUGGGAAAGAAAAGCUCAAAGCUAAUAACUUUGAGCCUUGACGUUACCCACAGAAAAAGCACUGGCUAACUCUGUGCCAGCCGCCGCAGUAA
This 506-nucleotide ribosomal RNA is filed under the name uncultured bacterium. Its description in RNAcentral is "partial 16S ribosomal RNA". It matches the Rfam family "Bacterial small subunit ribosomal RNA", at positions 30 to 523 of the family's 1533-position model. The record is from RNAcentral.